This 244-nucleotide long non-coding RNA is filed under the name Setaria viridis. Its description in RNAcentral is "long non-coding RNA (SVIR_LNC001516)". The record is from RNAcentral. Lineage: Eukaryota; Viridiplantae; Streptophyta; Magnoliopsida; Poales; Poaceae.
UAAUGGAGGCAGCAUUUGCCGGAAAGAACAAAGAGGUGAUGCGGAAGGACACAGUAAGACAUACGGCUCACCACCACUAAAGAUCUUUUCGUUAAUGGGACUGCAUGGCGUCAGGAAUACUCUUUAAUCUUUGUGGUUCACAACUGUGCACCUCUAUUCGUAAGCAAGUGCCACAUUGACUCGGUGAUCAUCAUCGACAGCACCUGGAUGUGGUAGUAUAGGCGAGGUUAGGUGUAUAGGCGGU